AUUGUUCUCACCCCGGCCGUACACACUAAAAUUGGAUCGAAACAGAGAUGGUUUGAAUGUCCACUUGCACAAAGACUACAUGCACAAUCGUGAAGGAUGCCAUAUUUUU
Molecule: small nuclear RNA, 109 nt
Organism: Gadus morhua (Atlantic cod)
Lineage: Eukaryota; Metazoa; Chordata; Actinopteri; Gadiformes; Gadidae
Source: Ensembl